AUUGACGUUACUCGCAGAAGAAGCACCGGCUAACUCCGUGCCAGCAGCCGCGGUAAUACGGAGGGUGCAAGCGUUAAUCGGAAUUACUGGGCGUAAAGCGCACGCAGGCGGUCUGUCAAGUCGGAUGUGAAAUCCCCGGGCUCAACCUGGGAACUGCAUCCGAAACUGGCAGGCUAGAGUCUUGUAGAGGGGGGUAGAAUUCCAGGUGUAGCGGUGAAAUGCGUAGAGAUCUGGAGGAAUACCGGUGGCGAAGGCGGCCCCCUGGACA
This 268-nucleotide ribosomal RNA is filed under the name Citrobacter sp. Cpo074. Its description in RNAcentral is "partial 16S ribosomal RNA". It matches the Rfam family "Bacterial small subunit ribosomal RNA", at positions 468 to 735 of the family's 1533-position model. The record is from RNAcentral. Lineage: Bacteria; Pseudomonadati; Pseudomonadota; Gammaproteobacteria; Enterobacterales; Enterobacteriaceae.